RNAcentral lists this transfer RNA (55 nucleotides) under Coleoptera sp. 20 KM-2017. RNAcentral's name for it is "tRNA-Gln". Lineage: Eukaryota; Metazoa; Arthropoda; Insecta; Coleoptera. The record is from RNAcentral.
GUUGGAUUAAAAUUUAAGUUUGGUGUAGAAGUUAAACUAUUUGGUCUGUUCGACC